RNAcentral lists this ribosomal RNA (2922 nucleotides) under Staphylococcus aureus. RNAcentral describes it as "23S ribosomal RNA". It matches the Rfam family "Bacterial large subunit ribosomal RNA". The record is from RNAcentral. Lineage: Bacteria; Bacillati; Bacillota; Bacilli; Caryophanales; Staphylococcaceae.
UUAAGUUAUUAAGGGCGCACGGUGGAUGCCUUGGCACUAGAAGCCGAUGAAGGACGUUACUAACGACGAUAUGCUUUGGGGAGCUGUAAGUAAGCUUUGAUCCAGAGAUUUCCGAAUGGGGAAACCCAGCAUGAGUUAUGUCAUGUUAUCGAUAUGUGAAUACAUAGCAUAUCAGAAGGCACACCCGGAGAACUGAAACAUCUUAGUACCCGGAGGAAGAGAAAGAAAAUUCGAUUCCCUUAGUAGCGGCGAGCGAAACGGGAAGAGCCCAAACCAACAAGCUUGCUUGUUGGGGUUGUAGGACACUCUAUACGGAGUUACAAAGGACGACAUUAGACGAAUCAUCUGGAAAGAUGAAUCAAAGAAGGUAAUAAUCCUGUAGUCGAAAAUGUUGUCUCUCUUGAGUGGAUCCUGAGUACGACGGAGCACGUGAAAUUCCGUCGGAAUCUGGGAGGACCAUCUCCUAAGGCUAAAUACUCUCUAGUGACCGAUAGUGAACCAGUACCGUGAGGGAAAGGUGAAAAGCACCCCGGAAGGGGAGUGAAAUAGAACCUGAAACCGUGUGCUUACAAGUAGUCAGAGCCCGUUAAUGGGUGAUGGCGUGCCUUUUGUAGAAUGAACCGGCGAGUUACGAUUUGAUGCAAGGUUAAGCAGUAAAUGUGGAGCCGUAGCGAAAGCGAGUCUGAAUAGGGCGUUUAGUAUUUGGUCGUAGACCCGAAACCAGGUGAUCUACCCUUGGUCAGGUUGAAGUUCAGGUAACACUGAAUGGAGGACCGAACCGACUUACGUUGAAAAGUGAGCGGAUGAACUGAGGGUAGCGGAGAAAUUCCAAUCGAACCUGGAGAUAGCUGGUUCUCUCCGAAAUAGCUUUAGGGCUAGCCUCAAGUGAUGAUUAUUGGAGGUAGAGCACUGUUUGGACGAGGGGCCCCUCUCGGGUUACCGAAUUCAGACAAACUCCGAAUGCCAAUUAAUUUAACUUGGGAGUCAGAACAUGGGUGAUAAGGUCCGUGUUCGAAAGGGAAACAGCCCAGACCACCAGCUAAGGUCCCAAAAUAUAUGUUAAGUGGAAAAGGAUGUGGCGUUGCCCAGACAACUAGGAUGUUGGCUUAGAAGCAGCCAUCAUUUAAAGAGUGCGUAAUAGCUCACUAGUCGAGUGACACUGCGCCGAAAAUGUACCGGGGCUAAACAUAUUACCGAAGCUGUGGAUUGUCCUUUGGACAAUGGUAGGAGAGCGUUCUAAGGGCGUUGAAGCAUGAUCGUAAGGACAUGUGGAGCGCUUAGAAGUGAGAAUGCCGGUGUGAGUAGCGAAAGACGGGUGAGAAUCCCGUCCACCGAUUGACUAAGGUUUCCAGAGGAAGGCUCGUCCGCUCUGGGUUAGUCGGGUCCUAAGCUGAGGCCGACAGGCGUAGGCGAUGGAUAACAGGUUGAUAUUCCUGUACCACCUAUAAUCGUUUUAAUCGAUGGGGGGACGCAGUAGGAUAGGCGAAGCGUGCGAUUGGAUUGCACGUCUAAGCAGUAAGGCUGAGUAUUAGGCAAAUCCGGUACUCAUUAAGGCUGAGCUGUGAUGGGGAGAAGACAUUGUGUCUUCGAGUCGUUGAUUUCACACUGCCGAGAAAAGCCUCUAGAUAGAAAAUAGGUGCCCGUACCGCAAACCGACACAGGUAGUCAAGAUGAGAAUUCUAAGGUGAGCGAGCGAACUCUCGUUAAGGAACUCGGCAAAAUGACCCCGUAACUUCGGGAGAAGGGGUGCUCUUUAGGGUUAACGCCCAGAAGAGCCGCAGUGAAUAGGCCCAAGCGACUGUUUAUCAAAAACACAGGUCUCUGCUAAACCGUAAGGUGAUGUAUAGGGGCUGACGCCUGCCCGGUGCUGGAAGGUUAAGAGGAGUGGUUAGCUUCUGCGAAGCUACGAAUCGAAGCCCCAGUAAACGGCGGCCGUAACUAUAACGGUCCUAAGGUAGCGAAAUUCCUUGUCGGGUAAGUUCCGACCCGCACGAAAGGCGUAACGAUUUGGGCACUGUCUCAACGAGAGACUCGGUGAAAUCAUAGUACCUGUGAAGAUGCAGGUUACCCGCGACAGGACGGAAAGACCCCGUGGAGCUUUACUGUAGCCUGAUAUUGAAAUUCGGCACAGCUUGUACAGGAUAGGUAGGAGCCUUUGAAACGUGAGCGCUAGCUUACGUGGAGGCGCUGGUGGGAUACUACCCUAGCUGUGUUGGCUUUCUAACCCGCACCACUUAUCGUGGUGGGAGACAGUGUCAGGCGGGCAGUUUGACUGGGGCGGUCGCCUCCUAAAAGGUAACGGAGGCGCUCAAAGGUUCCCUCAGAAUGGUUGGAAAUCAUUCAUAGAGUGUAAAGGCAUAAGGGAGCUUGACUGCGAGACCUACAAGUCGAGCAGGGUCGAAAGACGGACUUAGUGAUCCGGUGGUUCCGCAUGGAAGGGCCAUCGCUCAACGGAUAAAAGCUACCCCGGGGAUAACAGGCUUAUCUCCCCCAAGAGUUCACAUCGACGGGGAGGUUUGGCACCUCGAUGUCGGCUCAUCGCAUCCUGGGGCUGUAGUCGGUCCCAAGGGUUGGGCUGUUCGCCCAUUAAAGCGGUACGCGAGCUGGGUUCAGAACGUCGUGAGACAGUUCGGUCCCUAUCCGUCGUGGGCGUAGGAAAUUUGAGAGGAGCUGUCCUUAGUACGAGAGGACCGGGAUGGACAUACCUCUGGUGUACCAGUUGUCGUGCCAACGGCAUAGCUGGGUAGCUAUGUGUGGACGGGAUAAGUGCUGAAAGCAUCUAAGCAUGAAGCCCCCCCUCAAGAUGAGAUUUCCCAACUUCGGUUAUAAGAUCCCUCAAAGAUGAUGAGGUUAAUAGGUUCGAGGUGGAAGCAUGGUGACAUGUGGAGCUGACGAAUACUAAUCGAUCGAAGACUUAAUCAA